Molecule: ribosomal RNA, 115 nt
Filed under: Gemmula ambara
Lineage: Eukaryota; Metazoa; Mollusca; Gastropoda; Neogastropoda; Turridae
Description: partial 28S ribosomal RNA
Rfam family: Eukaryotic large subunit ribosomal RNA (bases 50-115)
Source: RNAcentral
CCCCCCGCCUCUCUUUGCGAGCGAGGAAGAAGCCGCGUUUCUCAUUUUCCGACCUCAGAUCGGACGAGAUUACCCGCUGAAUUUAAGCAUAUCACUAAGCGGAGGAAAAGAAACU